Populus euphratica (Euphrates poplar) is the source of this 1070-nucleotide long non-coding RNA. RefSeq lists it as uncharacterized. The transcript is spliced from 2 exons. Lineage: Eukaryota; Viridiplantae; Streptophyta; Magnoliopsida; Malpighiales; Salicaceae. The record is from RefSeq and is a predicted model, not a curated record.
CAAAGAUCUACACCAUUAGAUAAAAGGUAAAAAAUGUAACAUGGAGGCAACUGACAUCAUAAUUAAGAGAUUCUUUGAAAGGUAAACAAAAAGUACCACAAAUGAAGUUACAACAAUAGAAGUAAUCAAAUCAUUGUUAGGAAAAAACAUUGUUUCAACUCAAGUUUCCAGCCAUCUCAUGUGUUUUCAGAAACAAACACACUGUUACUUGACUGAUACAAAAACAAAUAAAGCAAUGCACGAAACCAUUAUCUGUAACAGGACACACAAACAUGUGUAAUUAAAAAUGAAUACUGCUCAGAAGACAAUAAAGGCAUGAAAUUCCAAUCCUGAGAUUCCUUGGAAUUUAAAACAGAUACCUAAAUGUUGCAAACAGAUAUAUAUAUAAAACACACUCAUGUGAGCAUGUAAAAUGCAGUAACCAACAGCUAUAUGCUGCAUUCAUUAAUUGAAGCAUUAACAAAUUAAACUAAUACAGCAACAGUACUUCCAAGAACAUGAAAGCAGGCAUGUGUAAUUAAACCUAAAGAACAACCUCAAUACCAUCUUAAUUUAAUCCCGACAUUUUUCGAAUACGCAAACUUGGGAACUUAAAUACCAUCGAUCAACUGACCAAUACCAUCUUAAAUGACUGCCUCAAAUAGCAAUGCAAUUAUCAUAUUCUUAAAAAAAGGUCACAAUUCAAUAUCUUUGCCCUUGAAAUCUCAAACAAAAGCAGCAGAUCUUAACAUACAAACUCCAUUGAGGUGCAUCAAAAAGUCUUAACUCCUCAGAACAUUCUUUUCUCUCUUUCUCGAUUCAAAACUACCAUCCCCUUGUUGCCCUUUUCUCGAGUUCUAUUGCUGCUUAUCAAAAUUCAUAACCAAAACAGAUAAAACAAAAAAAUCCACCCAAAAAAAUUACUAAACCAGCGCCACAAAAUCACAAUUAAACAAACUGUGUUUCCAUCAAAUCUUCCAAAAGAUAAAUUUAAAACCUCCAAAUUUUUUAUAAAAAAAGGAAAAAAAAACUCCAAAUAUUCGAUUCACCAACCCUCAACAUUCAUAUACCUAAGAACCCCACAAAAACCC